UCCCACUAAUAAACCUACCAUUUUUCACACUCCUUCUAGAAAUUUAAGUCAGAUCUUGAAGAAUUUCAGUAACAUUUCAAUACACGAACGUGAAGAGAGGAGAGCCUACACAAUAAAGACUUUAAAAAAUUUGGUGGACAAGAACAAUACAUAAGAUCCCAUAGUAAUUGAUCAUCUUUCGCGUGACAGAGGUGUAGUGAUCCAGGACGACAAAAAGAUCACUGAACUAAGAGGAUACAAGGAAUUGCUUGAUGAGAAGAAGUUGAUUUUCGAGCAAUC
Molecule: long non-coding RNA, 279 nt
Organism: Capsella rubella
Lineage: Eukaryota; Viridiplantae; Streptophyta; Magnoliopsida; Brassicales; Brassicaceae
Exons: 6
Source: RefSeq, a predicted model, not a curated record